GACGAACGCUGGCGGCGUGCUUAACACAUGCAAGUCGAACGGAAAGGCCCUGCUUUUGUGGGGUGCUCGAGUGGCGCACGGGUGAGUAACACGUGAGUAUCCUGCCCUUGACUUUGGGAUAACUUCAGGAAACUGGGGCUAAUACCGGAUAUGAGCUCCUGCUGCAUGGUGGGGGUUGGAAAGUUUCGGCGGUUGGGGAUGGACUCGCGGCUUAUCAGCUUGUUGGUGGGGUAGUGGCUUACCAAGGCUUUGACGGGUAGCCGGCCUGAGAGGGUGACCGGCCACAUUGGGACUGAGAGACGGACCAGACUCCUACGGGAGGCAGCAGGGGGGAAUAUUGCACAAUGGGCGGAAGCCUGAUGCAGCAACGCCGCGUGCGGGAUGACGGCCUUCGGGUUGUAAACCGCUUUCGCCUGUGACGAAGCGUGAGUGACGGUAAUGGGUAAAGAAGCACCGGCUAACUACGUG
RNAcentral lists this ribosomal RNA (468 nucleotides) under uncultured bacterium. Its description in RNAcentral is "partial 16S ribosomal RNA". It matches the Rfam family "Bacterial small subunit ribosomal RNA", at positions 28 to 507 of the family's 1533-position model. The record is from RNAcentral.